CCCACAGCCAACGGGCUUUGAUUGCCAAACCCCAGGAGAUGCUGCCCAUUUUCAAUGAAACUCACCCUUGGGCUGAGCUCAUUUUGGUACCCCUGAAGAGUGAAAGGAUUGUGCAAGGAAUGAGGUUUGGAGAAAUCCAUUCAUUUAUUUCCCCAUCUGAAAUCUUCAAACGCCUGUGGCAGCUGGGGAUGCAGGAAAGGGAGCACUACAAAUUCCACUUGCAGGCUGGGACUCCAGUUUAAAUUCUGAAGUUGCAGUAGGAGAAUGCUAUGUACAGCUGUGCAACAUUGAAAUGAUGUGGGGAUGCUGUAAACAGAAAACUACAGUGCAUGUUUUAUAGACAUUACAGUCAUUUAUAACAGCAUCAACAAAACCUGCAGGGUUCUGAGUGUCUCAUUCAAGGCAGGAAGAAUCUGAAAAACUGGGUGAUACAAUUAAUUCUCCCAGCCAAUAGAAUGGAAACUGGCUCAGGUGAAAAAUCACCAAGGCUGAAUUUGGAUCAGGACAAGGAUAGGGAAUGGAGUAGGUUUUGAGAUGUCCCUGCCUAUAGCAGGAGGGCUGGAACCAGAUGAUCUUUAAGGUCUCUUCCCACUCAAACCAUUCUAUGAUGCUAUGUUUCUGUAUUCACCAGCCAAGAUAUUUGUUAAGACUUAGCCUGGAGCAGUUCUUCUCAGCAGCUGCAGCUUUAGUGCUUAUGAUACAGGGAAUAGACUAAUCUCUGUUAUCACAGCAAUAAAACCAGCAUGUGGCACAGUGGUUCCAGACCCAGUUACAUGAAGACUGCUCUUGGAAGCUCUAUGAAAAGAUGGAUAUCUUGUGGCUCAUUCUCAGGUGGUGAUGCAAUGGCACAGCUGCCCAAGGAGUGGUGGAGUCACCAUCCCUGGAGGUGUUCCAGAACUGUGGAGAUGUGGCACUGAGGGACGUGGUCAGUGGGCAUGGUGGGAUGGGUUGGAUUUGGUGAUCCGAGAGGUCUUUUUUCCAGCCUUUAUGUUUCUAUGAUGAUAUUUCAUUCUUGCAUGCGUUGCACCAAAGCAGUUCUCUCUCGUGAGCACAAGAAUUUCAAGGCAGCUCUGUUGGGUCCUUAAUCUGCACCAUGGCCUUUAAAUCCAAGUAGGAUGGACUCCGUUGUGAUGGGCUGUUGCUCAAAAACUGUCACGUGUUACCUGACAGCAGCUGUGGCUGUUCUCCUCCCAUACCUCCUCCCCUCACUCCCUGCCAGAAAAGAGAGUUUUACUGGAAAAGCAAAAUGCAAGAGAUCUCUUGUCUCAAAACCUCAGUGAACUAUUUUGCUGGCAUCACGUCUGGCAUCUUAUUUAUGUGGUCCUGAAAAAGGGGAUUUUUUUUUUGAAAACUGUGAAGAUGGGCAAGCACCAAGCUGGGAAUGGGAUGGAGACCACAAGAGGGUUUUCCUGGAGAGGAACUGAUGGAUGGGAAGAAAGUUUCUAAUGUGGUUCAAAGGGGAGCCAUUGUGACCCUCUUGCAAAACACGUGUAAUAGCUCUGACUAAAAGAAGAGCAGGGAGUUGAUGAUUGCUGUAGAUAUCAGAGAUAAUGACACUACAGAAAGUGUUUUCAUAAACAAACAAACAAAAAAAAGCCAAAAUUUAAGAGCUAAAAAGGGUUGCAUACAAUGAUGCACAGUUCAAGGAUGUGCACCGAGGGGACGAAACAAAAUGUUUAUCUAAAAGAGUAGAAAUUAUAGUUUGGAAGUAAUGGAAGAAAGCGUGGGUGCAUGGGAUAUCUACAAUGCAAGUAACUGAGCAUGUGGGAAAAUGUCAUUUUACUGAGCAAGGAGUUUCUAUGCCUUGUAAGCUGGGUUACGUGGCUUGGCCAUAAGUUCUUAGCAGCAAUAACACCUUCACCUGGGACUUCAUCUACUCUGCAGAUGGUUUGUAUGGGUAGAUCCCAUAACAAGGCUUCCCUGGCUUCCUGAAGAAGGUGCUGGUAACAGAGCUUGAGCAGAAACAAACUCUGCAGUUCAGGGUCUAGGCAAGGGUUGUGGGUUUUUAUUUUGUUUUUAUGGAAGGAGUGGCUUUUUGUUUGUUCCUUUUUAUGGCAGUGGGGGGGGUUGGAACCAGGUGAUCUUUGAGGUCUCUUCCAACCUAAGCCGUUCUAUGAUUCUACAAGCUGAGCUCUUGCAAGAGAGGAGCUGCCACGUCAACCCCACCUCCCAAAGCAGACACCACCUGGUGAUCACUAUUAUUUUUUCUUCCUGCUAUGAGACAGAUGCCCCAAAGAGGAAUCUAUAAACCCCCCGAGGAGAGCUGCUUGAAGCUUAAAUAAUGCUUUUGGGCAGCAGUUCCCACAGGCAGAAUGGCUGCAGAGGACUCCACAGGAAAGGCAGCAAGAUAGCUCCCUAGGAGUGGCAGGGAAAAGAGAUUACAGAUAUUUCCUCUGUUUGUUACUCAAACAAUAUAGAGACUUUGCUUCUCUCCUAGCAGCACUGCAGAGCUGCCCCCUAUUCAUGUGCAGUGUGCACCCUGCUGUCCUCAGUCCCCAGCUGUCCCGUGGGGACAGCACUGAGCAGGGAUAAAGGACAGGAGAGACAUGGAGCUGUGGGGUGGAACACCUCCCCUUUAGAUUGGACAUAAGGAAAAUGUUUUUUAUGAUAAGGACAGCAAGGCAGUGGCACAGGUUGCCCAGAGAGGUGGUGGGUGCACCAUCCCUGCAGGCACCCAAGGUCAGGCAGGAUGGUGCUCUGAGCACUGAUGGAGCUGUGGGUGUCCCUGUCCAGCGAAGGGAGUGGGACCAGAUGGCCUAUAAGGGUCCCUUCCAACUGAAACCAUUUUAUGAUUCUAUGAAGAUGGCUGCAAUGGUUGCGCUUCCAGACAGGUAAAAUGGCUGUGCUGUUCCUCCUACCUGUUUUUCACUCUCAGUCUGGUCCCACAAGUCCUCUGACCCUCACUGCCCACAUCCUUUGCACGAGUGGGUAGAAACUGGCACAGGUUGGAGUACAUCAGGAGUCUGUUUUCUUUUCUUUUCUUAGAAAAUCUCAACUUGUCCAAAAGAAAAUUAAAACAAAAAUGGUUUGUUAUGCUAUGGGAGCACUUCUGAUCCAAGGCAGAAGUGAAGGCCGUCCUCCCUCUCCUAGCCCUUGAUCACCUCUGCUGCUGGAGCACUCACUGGACACCAAGCUUCAAGUCCUACACCCAAAACCCAGCAGAUGUCCAGGGCCACUGCAGCAAACACACCACCUCAAUCAGUGCUUCAACACUGCUUUAUCCUAUUUUAGACAUUUUCCACAACUGUGUCCCUCUAAGGAUGCUGCUACUGUCCCAUUGGGGACAGCAUGCAAGGCUUGGAGAGCUGUGGUUUACCUAAAUCAACAAUAAUAUCCUUGGAGUCUCCAAUUCUUUGCCUGCUCAAAGGGAGGAAUGUCAUUUUGUACAUAAGGUGCUCUUGCUUUAAUCUUUGGUUAUGUUUAAACUUAAAAUGGGAUUUUUUAUUUUUUUUUUAGAUUGUUGUAUUGAAUUUACUAGGGAGCUCAUGCUCCGUAGAAGGCAUCACAGUUCCUAUGAUUCAGUGAUCAUAGAAUCAAAGAACGGCCUGGGUUGAAAAGGACCACAAUGAACACCUCAUUUCAACCCCCCUGCUAUGUGGAGGGUCGCCAACCACCAGACCUUGAAGCAUGGAAUAAAAUGAAGGGUAGAUCACACCUCAGCCUUCCGAUCUGUAAAACGGGCAGAAAACUGACUGUGCUCUCCAUCUUCCGGGGCUGCAUUGUGCUCCAUUGCAAAGAGCUUCCCAGUUGGGCAUUGCCAAGGCUGCAACUGCUCGGAAAUAAAACCUUUCAGCAAAACUGAAAUUCCUCUUGGAAAAAAAAAAAAAAAAGUAAAAUAAAAUAAAAUCAAUUAAUUUUCUAGGAAGGGAAUAAAAAUGCAUCAAAUGGUCUCUCUGGGAGAAUGGUUGGGUGGUUGGGUUUCUCCUGCCCGCCUGACUGUCCGGCUCCGUAUUUCGUCUGCUUUUAUUUAGGCUUGAGAUCAGUUUUCUGCAAUAUUGAGAGCAGCUCCUGCUCUAAUGAAACACCUUAUCUGCUCAUCCGAGGUGAGUCUCACUGCUGGAAGGGAAUUGUUUGACACAUUGGAUUAAAUGGUAAAAGAAGCUGUUUCACUCAAUACUAAUUAGAGUAGCACUGAGUGUAAAUUAAAAGAAAGAGAGAAGCUGAUCUCUCUUAGAGAAGCUCAACACCCAGACAGCUUUAAAGGAGCCAAGAAGGAUAAUUUCUGAACUUUAUUUUUUUUCAGGACUCCUAUUUUUCUAAGAGUCUGUAAUUCUGGAUCACUGUUUUCCACAGAAUUGGACUUUUCAGCAAAAAGGAAUUUCUGGGUUUUGCCCAGUGGUAACUGCAGCGUGCAGGCACUGCUGUUAAUUUUCAUGUUCUCCAGGGAUCCUGCAGUUUACAAUGGUGUUUAGUGUGUCUGUGGAAAUUCGUGAAGAAUAAGAGCUACGAUCACAGUGUUGCCACCAAGUAAACGUUAUUGUGAACGCAUCUCAGUCCUGAGUCUCAGUUCAACCACAAAGGGGGUGGUGAGGCCCCAGCACUGCUGCCCAGAGGUGUUGUGGGUGCCCCAUUCCUGGAGGUGCCCAAGGCCAUGGAUGGGGACCUGAAAAGCCUGAGCUGGUGCCUGAUUUAGUGAAUGGCAGCCCUGCCCAUGAUCUUUGAGGUCUCUUCUAACCCAAGCUAUCCUAUGAUUCCAUGAUUCUUUGAUUUGUAUGUGCUGCCUUUGUCCCCAAACCAGGAGAGAAGCAAAUCUCCAGUUUCACAGCUCCAAAGCUGAUGUGUGAGUUCAACCACCAUGGCCUUCACUCUUUGCCUUUGUCCAGACAUCAGCAAACCACUCACUGCUAAGAAAUUGUCCUGUUUUGUUGCCCCACUUCCCGUGAGGGUUUGACUAGACAAUGUUUACAUUGAACAUCCCAUACUGCAGGCUGUACCUUUGCCUUAUUGCUGUGCAAUAGAGACAAGGCACUUUAUCACCUACCCACUUAAGAUGGAAGUGGAUUUCUGAGCUGAAACAGCCAGCCUGUUUGCAGUAGCAUAUCACCCACACAAAUGAAGCCAAGACUGUCUUCUCCCUUCUUCCAUGUCUCCAAUAGAUGGCAUUCGUGGUCCCUUCUCUGUUAUUUUGGGACCACCAGGCCACAAAGCAAACAAAGUCAAACCAACUACAGCCAAAGCCUGCCAUACCACUGUGCAAACUCCUGCAGAAGGUGAAUUGCACCUUGAAACUCCUGCAGGUGAGGUGGGAACUCAACUCAGAGCUUUCUCCUGCCUGAUGGAUGUGCCAGGGUCUGGAAACCAGGCAUUUUCCUUGCAAAGCCAUCUCUGAGCUCAAAAUCCAUGCUUCCUCAUUUUGAAGCAAGAUCAUAUAUUCACAUACAAUUUAUUUUCUUCCUCUAUUUAAAUCUGCAAGGACAGAUCAUUUGUUCUUCCCACACACUCCAUCCUUGCAAAGCAGGGACGAGUGAAAAUAAAUAAAAGUAGUGUAUUUCUGGAAGUACACUUAUAACAGCCUGCAGUGCUCACCCUGUCUCAGACACGACCUACAGUAGGUGAAAAGUAGUCAAGAAGCAGUGGAGGACUGGAAGACAUGAUGUGGUGAGCACUGCCUGUGCAGCUGGGAUGCUUAUUAGCCAUUAUACACCUUGGGGAAUUACGUGUCCUCUUCUGACAGAUCUGCACAUAGAAGUAUGGGCAGUUUGUUCCUGGUAGACCUGCAGGCAACCUUAGAAUCUCCCUGUGCAUCAGCUGACCCAUGGUUAGGCAGGAGUUGGACUCAAUGAUGCCUGUGGGUCCCUUCAUACUCAGGAUAUUCUACAGUUCUGUGGUGACUUUCUACAUCCCAAGACAAACAACCAACAUCCAAAAUGAUCUUACUGCUGUGUGUAUUCCCAGGCCUUCAGGAAACACUACAAGGGGACACAGUGAGCUCUGCAUGGUGAGAUCAUGGAAUCACUGAGGUUGGAAAAGGCCUCUAAGAUCACCAAGUCCAACCCCAACCCAUCCC
This 6007-nucleotide long non-coding RNA is filed under the name Gallus gallus (chicken). RNAcentral describes it as "lncRNA (ENSGALG00010018782.1)". Lineage: Eukaryota; Metazoa; Chordata; Aves; Galliformes; Phasianidae. The record is from RNAcentral.